This 425-nucleotide ribosomal RNA is filed under the name uncultured Phenylobacterium sp. RNAcentral describes it as "bacterial SSU rRNA". It matches the Rfam family "Bacterial small subunit ribosomal RNA", at positions 354 to 796 of the family's 1533-position model. The record is from RNAcentral. Lineage: Bacteria; Pseudomonadati; Pseudomonadota; Alphaproteobacteria; Caulobacterales; Caulobacteraceae.
GUAGGGAAUCUUGCGCAAUGGGCGAAAGCCUGACGCAGCCAUGCCGCGUGAAUGAUGAAGGUCUUAGGAUUGUAAAAUUCUUUCACCGGGGACGAUAAUGACGGUACCCGGAGAAGAAGCCCCGGCUAACUUCGUGCCAGCAGCCGCGGUAAUACGAAGGGGGCUAGCGUUGCUCGGAAUUACUGGGCGUAAAGGGCGCGUAGGCGGACAGUUUAGUCAGAGGUGAAAGCCCAGGGCUCAACCUUGGAAUUGCCUUUGAUACUGGCUGUCUUGAGUACGGGAGAGGUGAGUGGAACUCCGAGUGUAGAGGUGAAAUUCGUAGAUAUUCGGAAGAACACCAGUGGCGAAGGCGACUCACUGGCCCGUUACUGACGCUGAGGCGCGAAAGCGUGGGGAGCAAACAGGAUUAGAUACCCUAGUAGUCC